Molecule: transfer RNA, 69 nt
Filed under: Sphingomonas glacialis
Lineage: Bacteria; Pseudomonadati; Pseudomonadota; Alphaproteobacteria; Sphingomonadales; Sphingomonadaceae
Description: tRNA-Sec
Source: RNAcentral
GCUGGUGGGACUACAGGGAGAGCGCCUGCUUCAUGCAGGAGGUCGAUGGUUCAAACCCAUCCCCGGGCG